AUUUUUAUUGUGGAAUGUAGAUAACAUCUUUUGUGAUUCACUGAGGAACUUUCGAAAGACAGUGCCCCCUGUCCUAGGUGUUGCAACACAGUUUCAUGCAUGGUGGCAUAUUCUAACUGGCCUGGGCUCUUAUCUCCACAUCCUUUUCAGUUUAUAUACAAGAACACUUUACCUGAGGUACAGGCCAAAAGUGAAGUUUCUCUUUGGAAUCUGGCCCAUGGUCAUGUUUGAACCUCAGAGGAAGCACUGAUGAAUUAAUUAUUCUACCAAGAAAACAAAAAGCACUUACUGUAUGUAGUUCUGGCAAGAUGGUCAAGACAUCUCCAAAGACUUGUGCAUUUGAAGACACCAUGCCCAUCACAAGAGAUGAAUGACUCAGUCACAGAGAAUGGGAGAUUGGUCUGUUGGGUGAUUAGCUCCUGGCUUUAUCUCGUUUGUCCUGGACCUAAGAUGCUUAGAGAGAAACAGAUAGUGUAUAUUUAUAUUCUGGAAUGGUGGAGAAGUUGGACUUUUCUUAACAGGUUAACAGUUUGUGCUGGUCAUUCAUGGAAAAUUAAUAUUUUUUCUUUUCUUUUUUCUAUUUUUUAUGAGUUGCAUGUUAAUUGUACCUUUAUUAAUUUUUGAUUAAAUAUUGAACAGAGUCAUUAAGUACUGGCAAGAUCCCAUAUCCAGAUGGUCGACUGUGAGCCAGCACUUAGCCGUGUCAGCUUUGACUCACAUUAUCACAUUAACUUCGCACAUGACUUUCCAGUAAUAAAAGAUAAGGUGUGGGACUCAAGGUAGCUCCUCGCUAUCUGCCUUGGUGCUAGCUGGAGUCUUGUAAGCAAACUCCGACCUGCCAGUGAGUAGGCUCUGUUCUCAUCACAUCCAAGAAUUUGUCUUGGGCUCUGUGGCCCACAGGCAGUCGAAGGGAUGGGCCAUCUAACACCCCUUCAGAAGUUUUCCCACAGCACCUGUGGAGCAUAGCCCUCUCACCAGUUAAAGGCUGCUGGUUUGCUUUCUUUAAUCUUCAACUUAUUAUUAUUAUUGUGUCUAGCAAAUUGAACUGGUAAUCUUAUGACAGCACAGUUUAAUUGACUUUAUCAGGGAAAGUUGUAUGUUUUUUUACUUUUUGCAUUAUGCAGUAUGCAUAGUGAAGCAAAUAGUUCUACUUUGGAUUUGAGUGCAUAUGAAAUUGAAUUGAUUGUCACCAACAGUAAAUGAAAGAUCACAUGUU
Molecule: long non-coding RNA, 1216 nt
Filed under: Rattus norvegicus (Norway rat)
Lineage: Eukaryota; Metazoa; Chordata; Mammalia; Rodentia; Muridae
Description: long non-coding RNA NONRATT002944
Source: RNAcentral